AAAGUUUGUAGCAUGCGUGCUUGUUGUUUUUGUCUGCUUCCACUUGUCUUUGCACUAGGAUGAUGUUGGAGUAAAUGUGCAGUCAUAUUCGUUGUGUUCCUGUAACCCAGUGUUAAUUUGGUUAUCUAGUGGGAGGGGCUAUGAGCUCACGUGGCUUGUAGCUGUGCCAGAGAGCAAGCUGGGGUGAGCUAGCGGGGAAUAUCGCCUUCUGCAGUAGCCUUGAAAAGGACUAUUGUUCGUUCUCCUGCCAGACGUUUCGCUGCUGUGCUGCCUCGCUGCUGUGCUGCCUUACUACUGUGCUGCCUUACUGGUGCCAUUAAAGGACAAGCGGCCGCCAUCCCUUCAUCCAUCCGGACCUUGAUUAUUUGGACCGAAGUACUCACACACACGCCCGCACUCAGUGCCAUACACUCUCUUUAUUUUGCUGGCCAGCUAAUAUCAUUUGUUUUUUUUUGUUUUGUUUUCAUUCACAAAGACUAUCCAAAGACAUUUUGGUUAUUGUCGAAUAGACACUCUUUGAUUACGGACUGAGGAGGUUGUGGUGUUACAACCCCAGGACUGAGAAAAAGGACUCUUUACAUAAUAUAUUCACUUGUCUCCUGGUUAGGAAAAGUGACUAUUGAUGGAAAUAUUUUUCUUCUUCUUGUCUUUGUUUACAUUGUAUCCCAGAGAAGUUUUAAGUUGUUCAGGUUGAAACAUUUGCACUUAAAGUCGGUUAAGUUUCCUUUGAUAUAUCAGUGUCAAGCUGAUGUUUAAGAGGGUAUGUUAAGGACAGAUGUGCUCCAGUCCAUCAAUCCUUUAAAGUGCUGGACACCGAUGGUAAAUUGCCAUCAGACCCUAAAUAAAUUGUCCUCUGCUGUUAUCCAUAUUGCUUCACUCAUUCUGUGAGUAUACGUAUUGGUUACAUUCCCACUAGUGCUGUCAGCGUUAAUCUCAUUAAAAUGACUUUAACGCCAUUAAACGGCAAAUCUCCGUUAAUGAGCUACUGCGGAUCGUCCCGUGCGUGGGGCUGGACGGCGUCAACACGUUAACAAGCUAACGGCGCUA
Molecule: long non-coding RNA, 1047 nt
Organism: Astatotilapia calliptera (eastern happy)
Lineage: Eukaryota; Metazoa; Chordata; Actinopteri; Cichliformes; Cichlidae
Source: Ensembl